RNAcentral lists this ribosomal RNA (965 nucleotides) under Suncus etruscus (white-toothed pygmy shrew). Its description in RNAcentral is "partial 16S ribosomal RNA". It matches the Rfam family "Bacterial large subunit ribosomal RNA", at positions 960 to 2578 of the family's 2925-position model. The record is from RNAcentral. Lineage: Eukaryota; Metazoa; Chordata; Mammalia; Eulipotyphla; Soricidae.
ACAUUUUAAUGUAAACUUAAAUGUUAAUCUGCAGAGGUACAGCUCUGCAGAAUAAGAUAACAACCUUAAUUAGAGAGUAAAUUUAUAUAACAACCAUAGUUGGCCUAAAAGCAGCCACCAAUUAAGAAAGCGUUCAAGCUCAACAAUUAAAUUCACACAUAAUUCAAAAAAUAAUAUGAACUCCUAAUUUAAUUACUGGAUUAUUCUACCCACAUGUAGAAGCAAUACUGUUAAUAUGAGUAACAAGAUUUUAAAUCUCCAAACACACGUGUAUAUCAACCCGAAUACUAACUGAUAAUUAACAAUUAGACAAAUCCAAACAUUUAAUUAAUAAUUUUCCACCAUAUUGUUAAUCCAACACCGGAGUGUACUUAAGGAAAGAUUAAAAAAAGUAAAAGGAACUCGGCAAACAUAAACCCCGCCUGUUUACCAAAAACAUCACCUCUAGCAUUACCAGUAUUAGAGGCACUGCCUGCCCAGUGACAUUAGUUUAACGGCCGCGGUAUCCUGACCGUGCAAAGGUAGCAUAAUCAUUUGUUCCUUAAUUAGGGACUUGUAUGAAAGGCUCCACGAGGGUUUAACUGUCUCUUACUUUCAAUCAGUGAAAUUGACCUUCCCGUGAAGAGGCGGGAAUAAAAAAAUAAGACGAGAAGACCCUAUGGAGCUUAAAUUAAAUUAUCUAAUAAAUUAAAACUUAAUCCAAUAGGCAUAACAAUAUAUUUAACUAGAUAACAAAUUUUGGUUGGGGUGACCUCGGAGUAUAACCCAACCUCCGAGCUAUAUAAACUAAGACUUACCUGUCAAAGUGAAAUAACUUAUUGAUCCAAUCUUAUUGAUCAACGGAAUAAGUUACCCUAGGGAUAACAGCGCAAUCCUAUUUAAGAGUUCAUAUCGACAAUAGGGUUUACGACCUCGAUGUUGGAUCAGGACACCCAAAUGGUGCAGCAGCUAUUAAAGGUUCGUUU